GACGAACGCUGGCGGCGUGCCUAAUACAUGCAAGUAGAACGCUGAAGGAGGAGCUUGCUUCUCUGGAUGAGUUGCGAACGGGUGAGUAACGCGUAGGUAACCUGCCUGGUAGCGGGGGAUAACUAUUGGAAACGAUAGCUAAUAACGCAUAAUAGUAGAUGUUGCAUGACAUUUGCUUAAAAGGUGCAAUUGCAUCACUACCAGAUGGACUUGCGUUGUAUUAGCUAGUUGGUGGGGUAACGGCUCACCAAGGCGACGAUACAUAGCCGACCUGAGAGGGUGAUCGGCCACACUGGGACUGAGACACGGCCCAGACUCCUACGGGAGGCAGCAGUAGGGAAUCUUCGGCAAUGGACGGAAGUCUGACCGAGCAACGCCGCGUGAGUGAAGAAGGUUUUCGGAUCGUAAAGCUCUGUUGUAAGAGAAGAACGAGUGUGAGAGUGGAAAGUUCACACUGUGACGGUAUCUUACCAGAAAGGGACGGCUAACUACGUG
RNAcentral lists this ribosomal RNA (495 nucleotides) under uncultured bacterium. RNAcentral describes it as "partial 16S ribosomal RNA". It matches the Rfam family "Bacterial small subunit ribosomal RNA", at positions 28 to 507 of the family's 1533-position model. The record is from RNAcentral.